RNAcentral lists this ribosomal RNA (330 nucleotides) under uncultured eukaryote. RNAcentral describes it as "partial 18S ribosomal RNA". It matches the Rfam family "Eukaryotic small subunit ribosomal RNA", at positions 1470 to 1796 of the family's 1831-position model. The record is from RNAcentral.
CCCUUAGAUGUCCGGGGCCGCACGCGCGCUACACUGAAGGAAUCAGCGUGGCUUUCUCCCUGACCCGAAAGGGUUGGGAAACCCGUUGAAUCUCCUUCGUGAUAGGGAUUGGGGCUUGAAAUUGUUCCCCAUGAACGAGGAAUUCCCAGUAAGCGCGAGUCAUAAGCUCGCGUUGAUUACGUCCCUGCCCUUUGUACACACCGCCCGUCGCUACUACCGAUUGAAUGGUCCGGUGAAAUCUUCGGAUUGAGACUUUGAUUUGUUUACUCAAAACGCUGUUUCAAGAAGUUGAUUAAACCUUACCAUUUAGAGGAAGGUGAAGUCGUAACA